RNAcentral lists this ribosomal RNA (400 nucleotides) under uncultured bacterium. RNAcentral's name for it is "bacterial SSU rRNA". It matches the Rfam family "Bacterial small subunit ribosomal RNA", at positions 355 to 773 of the family's 1533-position model. The record is from RNAcentral.
UGGGGAAUAUUGCACAAUGGAGGGAACUCUGAUGCAGCGACGCCGCGUGAGCGAUGAAGGCUUUCGAGUCGUAAAGCUCUGUCGAAUGGGAAGAUAAUGACGGUACCAUUUGAGAAAGCCCCGGCUAACUACGUGCCAGCAGCCGCGGUAAUACGUAGGGGGCGAGCGUUGUCCGGAAUUAUUGGGCGUAAAGGGUUCGUAGGCGGCAAUGUAUGUCAGGUGUGAAAGACGGUGGCUCAACCAACGCAAGCAUCUGAAACUGCAUAGCUUGAGAAAAGGAGAGGUAAGUGGAAUUCCUAGUGUAGCGGUGAAAUGCGUAGAUAUUAGGAGGAAUACCAGUGGCGAAGGCGACUUACUGGACUUUAACUGACGCUGAUGAACGAAAGCGUGGGGAGCAAAC